This 52-nucleotide microRNA precursor is filed under the name Cavia porcellus (domestic guinea pig). RNAcentral describes it as "mir-1302 microRNA precursor family". It matches the Rfam family "mir-1302 microRNA precursor family". The record is from Rfam by way of RNAcentral. Lineage: Eukaryota; Metazoa; Chordata; Mammalia; Rodentia; Caviidae.
UUUGCAGUAUAAGUAUAUCCCGUGCAACAUUUGGGACAUACUUACACUAAAA